Molecule: long non-coding RNA, 1358 nt
Organism: Pan troglodytes (chimpanzee)
Lineage: Eukaryota; Metazoa; Chordata; Mammalia; Primates; Hominidae
Exons: 3
Source: RefSeq, a predicted model, not a curated record
UCUUUUCCCAUUAUUUUUAAAAAUUCUUUUUCAAAGCUGACCCUUUGAGAGCCCACAUUCUCAAAUUCUGUCUUCACUGCUCUCUCAUUUCCUUUCAUCCCUGUUCCUCUGUUUGAAUACACCCAACACACACACACACAUCCCAAGAGGGGACUCCACUAAGAAUAACUCACCCAUUUCCCUAGGAGGGAACUAGGCACCUGCAGGUCAACAAGGCCUGAGAAGCCAGAGUUCUUCAGAGUGUGGGCUCCACCUUAAUGUGAAUCUGCCUCUUUAAUUAAUAUUUCCAUCAACUUGGCUGCUAAUGUAUCCUCUUUUUCUUCAGUUUCUUCAUCUGUAAAAUGGGGGUGAUGAUCAUUGUACCUACAUGUAAAGUACAUUACAAAAGGAUGCCACUCCUUUAUUCUUUGCUAAUAAUAGCCACAUUUAUUGAGGCCUUCUAGGCCAGAUGCUGUUCCAAGUGCAAGUUUUGGUAGGCAGAAUAGGAGAGAUUGGUGGUGGGGGUGGGAGUACUAUGAGCAUGACAUGGGAGAAAGAGAAAGAGCAUCAAAAAAGGAACUAAGAGUUGCAGAAUAGCAAAACUGAAGUUCAGUUCAAAACAAAUUUCAUUUCUUCUAUUUCCAAUUUUUCUAGACUUAGUCCUGAUCAGUUACUCCAGAAAACCUACAGGAAUCUCACUGAGGGAGAGAGUGCGGACUAAUAUUUCAUUUCUCCCCACUCCUCCCUCUGAGGAAUCCAGGACUUCAUUGUGGACCCCUGUAUUAGUCCAUUUUCACACUGCUACAAAGAGCUACCUGAGACUGGGAGUACAGAAUAUAAAUAUAGAGUGCCCUCCUGUCUCCCCAAUGUCAUUGCCUUGCUCUGUGAACAAACCCAGAGGUCCAACGUUUGUGGCAGGCCAUCUUCUACUCACUUCAGAAGACGAAUAUGACAAUGCGACCCAUUCCCUGAGAUGUUUUACAACUUGAGGGAAAAAAGUGUGACUCUCAGAUGUACCAGCUGUUAUGCCAGAGACAACCCUCAGAUCACCUGGGACUUGCUCCUUGUUGCCUCCUCUUUGAUCUUUGCAUCAGAGGGCCCUGCCAGUCUCUGUCCUCACAGUCCCCAGUCUCUUGGUAAGUGCUACUCUUCACACCUUCACACCAGCUCUACGAAAUAGAUAGAAAGCUGACAAUAUUCGGCAGCUGUUCUCCUCCAUGAACAAUUGAGAUAACUUAAAAAUGUUCUGCAGCAAUGUAGAUCUUCUACUUUUUGCCCCAUCCUUACUAAAAAUGAAACACUUCUUGACUCCGAAAGAUUGGUAAAUAUUUGCUGAACAGAAGAGUAGUAGAUUCAUUUCCCUAAAACUCUGCUGUGGU